GACAAUAUGGCGGACAGGCUAACGCAGCUCCAGGAUGCAGUCAACUCCGUAAGAUGAUAUUUGUAUUUUAGAUGAAUAUUCAGUUAAGCAUGCUGGGUUUUAAUGGUCCGAAUUGACAUUUUAAUACUUAUAUUACAUUGUAAACACAAUUUUAGCAGAGCAAAGUCGAUAUUUACGGGCAAAACUAGUCUGAGAUGUUCCCACUGAGACACUAACAUGGUGGUGGUGGUGGUGUGUUGCUGUGGUACUGUGGUACUGUGCAUCAGCUACUGCAGUCAUGUUGAGGGUUUUAGACACUGUGUGGUCUUACUGGACACUUAAAACAAUACUUUGUUGGUCCCGUUAGUGAUUAUAGGUCGUCUAUAACUUGUCAGACUGGUUCUCAGCCCAACAGUGAUAUUGUGGUGCUUAAAAAACACACAACCUUGUCAGUGUCACUGCUGGAUUGAGAACCACUACAAUAACAUCAACACUUUACUGGUUUGAUGGUGGUCCUGUUCAAUACCUGGUACCUACACUUGUGCAUAGCAUUUUAUAUGUUUGGAGUGUAACUGCUGAUUGUACCCCUACAGAAUGAACCCAUAUAGAAGGUAGGGCUGGGCAAUAUGAUGAUGAUGAGGAAAUAUCGAUAUAGUGAUGAAUCGUGUCACGUCUCUAAGAUAUCAAAUGAACAUAAAUUGAGCAAACCCCUGCAGAAUUCGGAGCUUGGGAUUGUUUUCCGAAAUUACCGCAGAUUUUGGACCAAAACACAUCGUGCGACGUCAUCACGACGCGCAUUCAGCCAAAGCCCUGCGUCGAACAUGAGUAUGGCGGAAAGGUCUCGUUUACCGACAAACAUCACUUGAAGCUUCAAGAAGUUUUCAGCACAAAAAAAUUCACGACACAACGAUGACGCAAAUAAAUUCUGCGAAUCCUGUACAGACUGAAAACGCUACUGUUUUUCUUGCAGGUUACCCAACCUGAAUAUCCUGAUACAUAUCGCGUAUCAUAAUAAAAUGUCUUUAAGCGCCAUGAUAUCCGAUUCUGUCAUAUCGCCCGGCCGUUUCUGUGGGUUUAGGCUGUUUGGUAUUGAACUGGCAAAUCAAGCUAUACAUACAAUAGCAACAUAAUACAAAACAAAAAAUACAUUGUUGUUUUUGUGUGAUCUCAAUCCCAGAACGCUGAGUAAUUUGUUUUCCAUUGUUAAAGUUGUUUGUUACAUAUUAAGGAAUCUUAAAGCUAUGGAACAGCUGUUGGAUGAUUUAAGCUUGUACUGUUGUGAACGCCUGGGUUGUAGUUGGCCGAUCAGUUCUGUAACGCCAUCGGAGUGCUGCAGCAGUGCGCCCCGCCCGCUUCCUUCAGCAACAUCCAGACCGUCAUCAACAAGGAUCAGCCGUCAAACCCCACGGAAGAGUACGCACAGCUUUUCGCGGCACUGAUUGCAAGAACGGCUAAAGAUGUCGAUGUCUUGAUUGACUCUCUGCCCAGCGAAGAAUCCACUGCUGCUCUACAGGCCGCUAGUCUGAGGCAGCUAGAGGAGGAGAACCAUGAAGCAGCGGCUCGGCUGGAAGAGGUGGUGUACAGAGGAGAUUUACUGCUGGAGAAGAUACAGAGCGCUCUGGCCGAUAUUGCACAAUCGCAGCUACGCACACGCAGUGGUACGUCCAGCCAACCUGCGGCCCCUGAACCCUGACCUCCAGCAUUAUAUAAUGGACAACAUAUCAUGUACACAGUAGGGACGUUUCGAUCCCGUGUUCAUUUGUGCUCCUUGAGAUCAGCCUGUACAGUUAGUCACCGAUGCCGAGAGUUUCUGAUCCCUGUAUGAUAACCAUCACAUGGAUUAAUAUUGAGCGUGAACUUUGAAUAGUCUGAGGUGUUAAUGUUCACCAAAUUAAAAAAACAAACAAACAAAGUUCAAGACUCUGGAAUUUUUCCUUUUAUGUAACACAGUGCGAGUGAGUUUUUCCUAUUUUGUAUAAUCUACAACUGUUCUAAAAGGAACAUUAAAAAUGUAAAUGCACUUUUUUUUUUUUUUUUUGCAUUAAAAAUGUUUAUGAAAUGCUACUGAAAUGUGAUUGGCUGAUGGCAGAGCAUGUUCUUGGAGUAGUCCAGUCAUGAUAAACCUGGUACGCCCGGGAACGCCGUGGGGGAAGAAACAUGCGCACCUCGGUGUUUGUCUUUUGAGAGCAACAUGCUAACUGUGG
Ictalurus punctatus (channel catfish) is the source of this 2183-nucleotide long non-coding RNA. NCBI's taxonomy places the organism in Eukaryota, Metazoa, Chordata, Actinopteri, Siluriformes, Ictaluridae. The record is from Ensembl.